GAUGAACGCUAGCUACAGGCUUAACACAUGCAAGUCGAGGGGAAACGGCAUUUAGUGCUUGCACCGAAUGGACGUCGACCGGCGCACGGGUGAGUAACGCGUAUCCAACCUACCCAUUACCGUGGGAUAACCUGCCGAAAGGCAGACUAAUACCGCAUAGUCUUCGAUGACGGCAUCAGAUUUGAAGUAAAGAUUUAUCGGUAAUGGAUGGGGAUGCGUCUGAUUAGCUUGUUGGCGGGGUAACGGCCCACCAAGGCAACGAUCAGUAGGGGUUCUGAGAGGAAGGUCCCCCACAUUGGAACUGAGACACGGUCCAAACUCCUACGGGAGGCAGCAGUGAGGAAUAUUGGUCAAUGGACGAGAGUCUGAACCAGCCAAGUAGCGUGCAGGAUGACGGCCCUAUGGGUUGUAAACUGCUUUUGUAUGGGGAUAAAGUCAAUCACGUGUGAUUGUUUGCAGGUACCAUACGAAUAAGGACCGGCUAAUUCCGUGCCAGCAGCCGCGGUAAUACGGAAGGUCCGGGCGUUAUCCGGAUUUAUUGGGUUUAAAGGGAGCGUAGGCCGGAGAUUAAGUGUGUUGUGAAAUGUAGACGCUCAACGUCUGACUUGCAGCGCAUACUGGUUUCCUUGAGUACGCACAACGUUGGCGGAAUUCGUCGUGUAGCGGUGAAAUGCUUAGAUAUGACGAAGAACUCCGAUUGCGAAGGCAGCUGACGGGAGCGCAACUGACGCUUAAGCUCGAAGGUGCGGGUAUCGAACAGG
RNAcentral lists this ribosomal RNA (761 nucleotides) under Prevotella melaninogenica. RNAcentral's name for it is "bacterial SSU rRNA". It matches the Rfam family "Bacterial small subunit ribosomal RNA", at positions 28 to 776 of the family's 1533-position model. The record is from RNAcentral. Lineage: Bacteria; Pseudomonadati; Bacteroidota; Bacteroidia; Bacteroidales; Prevotellaceae.